AGCAGCCGCGGUAAUUCCAGCUCCAAUAGCGUAUAUUAAAGUUGUUGCAGUUAAAAAGCUCGUAGUUGAAUUUCGGGGUCAGUAGAUUGGUCGUGCCACUGGUAUGUACUGGUCUUACUGGCUCCUCCUUCCUGAUGAACCGUAAUGCCAUUAAUUUGGUGUUGCGGGGAGACUGGACUGUUACUUUGAAAAAAUUAGAGUGUUUAAAGCAGGCUAACGCUUGAAUACAUUAGCAUGGAAUAAUGAAAUAGGACGUUCGAUCUUAUUUUGUUGGUUUCUAAGAUUGACGUAAUGAUUAAUAGGGAUAGUUGGGGGCAUUAGUAUUCAAUUGUCAGAGGUGAAAUUCUUGGAUUUAUUGAAGACUAACUACUGCGAAAGCAUUUGCCAAGGAUGUUUUCAUUAAUCAAGAACGAAAGUUAGGGGAUCGAAGACGAUCAGAUACCGUCGUAGUCUUAACCAUAAACUAUGCCGACUAGGGAUCGGAUGAUGUUAAUUUUUUAAUGACUCAUUCGGCGCCG
Molecule: ribosomal RNA, 518 nt
Filed under: uncultured Glomus
Lineage: Eukaryota; Fungi; Glomeromycota; Glomeromycetes; Glomerales; Glomeraceae
Description: SSU rRNA
Rfam family: Eukaryotic small subunit ribosomal RNA
Source: RNAcentral